GAAAUGCGAUAAGUAAUGUGAAUUGCAGAAUUCCGUGAAUCAUCGAAUCUUUGAACGCAUAUUGCGCCCUCUGGUAUUCCGGAGGGCAUGCCUGUCCGAGCGUCAUUACUAUCUUCAAGCACGGCUUGUUUGUUGAGCCAAUUGUUCUUUAAUGGGACAGGCCUGAAAUGCAGUGGCGAUGCCGAGUUUAGGUGCCCGAGUGUAUGGGGCUUUGUCACACGCUUUUUGUGGCCCAGCCGGCAUUCUGUCGACCUUGUGAUUUACCUAAGAUUUAACCUCGGAUCAGGUAGGAAUACCCGCUGAACUUAA
Molecule: unclassified non-coding RNA, 309 nt
Filed under: uncultured Eurotiomycetes
Lineage: Eukaryota; Fungi; Ascomycota; Eurotiomycetes
Description: sequence contains ITS1
Rfam family: 5.8S ribosomal RNA (bases 1-105)
Source: RNAcentral